Molecule: long non-coding RNA, 620 nt
Filed under: Equus asinus (donkey)
Lineage: Eukaryota; Metazoa; Chordata; Mammalia; Perissodactyla; Equidae
Description: lncRNA (ENSEASG00005033254.1)
Source: RNAcentral
CUUGAUUUUACGUGACAGCACUAUAGUGCGUUUAGUGACCUCCUCAUGCCUAGUGCGUCUGGACCACGUUCCAUGUUUUUGAAGGAGAGGACGUGAUGAGAAUGUACAGUAAUCCAUUUCAGACUCUGGCUUUUGUGGAUUUAGACAAGGCUCCCCUGGAGGAAGGAAUGCCAGGGCAAGAAUCAACCAGAUUGAGAUCUUUGUGCCUGGCAGUCUGACAUCACUUGUAAACUCUGCCAAAAUUCCUUUGGAAGCAGAUGUUCCUAGAGGGGGAAUGGUCAGAAUACAAACUAGCGUCUCCGCCUCUCAGAACAAGCAUCACUUCCACGUGGAUGGCCUCCUCAGCCUCCCACUUCCAGUGCUUACUGGAGUCUAUUCCAAAUAGAUCUCCAUCUAUUGCAAAGCUCCCAUUAAAAAUUCUGGCUAUGGGGGCUGGCCCCGUGGCCGAGUGGUUAAGUUCGCGCGCUCCGCUGCAGGCGGCCCAGUGUUUCGUCGGUUUGAAUACUGGCCGCGGACAUGGCACUGCUCAUCAAGCCACACUGAGGCGGCGUCCCACAUGCCACCACUAGAAGGACCCACAACUAAGAAUGUACAACUAUAUACCGGGGGGCUUUGGGGAG